RNAcentral lists this ribosomal RNA (446 nucleotides) under uncultured bacterium. RNAcentral describes it as "partial 16S ribosomal RNA". It matches the Rfam family "Bacterial small subunit ribosomal RNA", at positions 338 to 795 of the family's 1533-position model. The record is from RNAcentral.
CCUACGGGUGGCAGCAGUCGAGAAUCAUUCACAAUGGGGGAAACCCUGAUGGUGCGACGCCGCGUGGGGGAAUGAAGGUCUUCGGAUUGUAAACCCCUGUCAUGUGGGAGCAAAUUAAAACGAUCGUACCACAAGAGGAAGAGACGGCUAACUCUGUGCCAGCAGCCUCGGUAAUACAGAGGUCUCAAGCGUUGUUCGGAAUCACUGGGCGUAAAGCGUGCGUAGGCUGUUUCGUAAGUCGUGUGUGAAAGGCGCGGGCUCAACCCGCGGACGGCACAUGAUACUGCGAGACUAGAGUAAGGGAGGGGGAACCGGAAUUCUCGGUGUAGCAGUGAAAUGCGUAGAUAUCGAGAGGAACACUCGUGGCGAAGGCGGGUUCCUGGACAUUAACUGACGCUGAGGCACGAAGGCCAGGGGAGCGAAAGGGAUUAGAUACCCCAGUAGUC